Molecule: long non-coding RNA, 267 nt
Filed under: Panax ginseng (ginseng)
Lineage: Eukaryota; Viridiplantae; Streptophyta; Magnoliopsida; Apiales; Araliaceae
Description: long non-coding RNA (PGIN_LNC013042)
Source: RNAcentral
GAUAAUUAUGUAUUUAAUUAUGUUAACUCGGUGCAGGGCAUAUCUAUCGAUAGUGGACAAUUGUUAAAUCUUAGUUCAAGUUGUUUAGUUUGAGGUAUUUUAACUUUUGAUCUUUUAUUGUAAGUUAACUGAUGUUCUCACGUAUUAUUUGUUUGUGUGCGCGAGAAAAUACACACACAAAUCGAAAGAGAUUGUUCCAUCUUCCCACAACUGCUGCGAUGUAGUAAAAUUUUAUUUUUCAGGUGCAUCCUUUUUGUCUUUCCAAUA